RNAcentral lists this ribosomal RNA (2946 nucleotides) under groundwater metagenome. RNAcentral describes it as "bacterial LSU rRNA". It matches the Rfam family "Bacterial large subunit ribosomal RNA". The record is from RNAcentral.
GCAAGCUACAAAGGGCGCUCGGUGGAUGCCUUGGCGAUGAGAGGCGAUGAAGGGCGUGGACAGCUGCGAAAAGCUCCGGGGAGCCGCUAACAGGCUACGAUCCGGGGAUACCCGAAUGGGACAACCCACCUCGAGGGAAACCUCUUGGUAUCCGUCACUGAAUUCAUAGGUGGCGAGAGGCAAACGCAGGGAAGUGAAACAUCUCAGUACCUGCUGGAAAAGAGAUCAAUAGAGAUUCCCCUAGUAGCGGCGAGCGAACGGGGACGAGCCUAAACCGGACUUCGCAAGAAGGCCGGGGUCGUGGGGCUCUCGACAUGGAACCUACAAACCGAUUGGAAGAGGCUUGGAACGGCCCGCCAUAGAAGGUGACAGCCCUGUAGAAGAAGGGGAGUAGGUCCUAGGGAGUACCCGAGUACCGCAGGACACGUGCAAUCCGGCGGGAAUCUGCGAGGACCAUCUCGCAAGGCUAAAUACUACUCAUCGACCGAUAGUGAACAAGUACCGUGAGGGAAAGGUGAAAAGAACCCCGAGAGGGGAGUGAAAUAGCACCUGAAACCGAGUGCCUACAAGCAGUGGGAGCACUAUGCCGCAAGGCAGUGUGACCGCGUACCUUUUGCAUAAUGGGCCUGCGAGUUGCGUUACGUAGCGAGGUUAAGCCGACGAGGUGUAGCCGAAGCGAAAGCGAGUCCGAACAGGGCGACUAGUUGCGUGACGCAGACCCGAAGCCCGGCGAUCUAUCCAUGGCCAGGUUGAAACGUGGGUAAUACCGCGUGGAGGACCGAACUCACUAACGUUGAAAAGUUAGGGGAUGAGCUGUGGAUAGGAGUGAAAGGCUAAUCAAGCCGGGGGAUAGCUGGUUCUCCCCGAAAUAUAUUUAGGUAUAGCCUCGAGUGAUCUGCGUCGGAGGUAAAGCACUGGAUGGGCUAGGGGUCUUACCGGAUUACCAAACCCAACCAAACUCUGAAUGCCGGCGACAGCAGCUCGGGAGACAGGCAGUGGGAGAUAAGUUUCAUUGCCGAGAGGGAAAGAGCCCAGAUCGUCAGCUAAGGUCCCAAAAUUCACGCUUAGUGGUAAAGGAUGUGGGAGCGCAUUGACAGCCAGGAGGUUGGCUUAGAAGCAGCCACCCUUUAAAGAAAGCGUAAUAGCUCACUGGUCAAGCGAGCCCGCGCCGAAAAUAUAACGGGGCUCAAGCGUGAUACCGAAGCUACGGGAAUGGUGACAUUCGGUAGGGGAGUAUUCUCGGACAGAUACACGGUGUACCGUAAGGAGCACUCUCGGGUCCGAGAAGAGCUUAUGCAGGCAUGAGUAGCGAUAAACCGGGUCGAAAACCCGGUCGCCGUAAGCCCAAGGUUUCCUGGGGAAGGAUAAGCCUCCCAUGGGUUAGUCGGAACCUAAGCCGAGGCCGAUAGGCGUAGGCGAUGGCAAGCAGGUUAAUAUUCCUGCACCGAGAUUGUACUUGAGCGUGGCGGGGACGGAGAAGGGUAUGUCCAGCCGGUGAUUGGUUGUGCCGGUUCAAACUCGUAGGGAGAGACUCUAGGACCCAAUAGGGACAAACGGAGUCUCACUAUCCCGAGAAGUGAUGAGGUUGGCCUUCGGGCCGCGAACUGGAUGAUCCCAGGCUUCCAAGAAAAGCCGCAACGCAUCGUACUUUCUCGUCCGUACCGCAAACCGACUCAGGUGGGCGGGGUGAAUAUCCCAAGGCGCGUGAGAGAACCCUGGCUAAGGAACUAGGCAAACUGACCCCGUAACUUCGGGAGAAGGGGUGCCGAUCGGCGUGUAGGCCUUCGCGGUCGAAGCGCUGGUCGGUCGCAGUGACCUGGGGGUUGCGACUGUUUACUAAAAACACAGGACUCUGCGAAGACGGAAGUCGACGUAUAGGGUCUGACGCCUGCCCGGUGCUGGAAGGUUAAGGGGAGGUGUUAGCCGCAAGGCGAAGCACCGAACCGAAGCCCCAGUAAACGGCGGCCGUAACUAUAACGGUCCUAAGGAAGCGAAAUUCCUUGUCGGGUAAGUUCCGACCUGCACGAAUGGCGUAACGACAUCCCCGCUGUCUCGGCCAGGGACUCAGCGAAAUUGUCCUGGGGGUGAAGAUACCCUCUUCCCGCAGCAAGACGGAAAGACCCCAUGAACCUUUACUGCAACUUGGCAGUGAGCUUCGGGUUGUUCUGCGUAGGAUAGGUGGGACCCUAUGAAAUCGGGCUUCUGGGCUCGGUGGAGGGAACGUUGAAAUACCACCCUGAAUAAUCUGGGGUUCUAACCCAGACCCGUGAUCCGGGUCGGGGACACUGCCUGGUGGGCAGUUUGACUGGGGCGGUCGCCUCCUAAAACGUAACGGAGGCGCACGAAGGUCACCUCAGGCUGAUUGGAAACCAGCCGUAGAGUGUAAAGGCAUAAGGUGGCUUGACUGCGAGACCGACAGGUCGAGCAGGUGCGAAAGCAGGUCUUAGUGAUCCGGUGGUCCCGUAUGGAAGGGCCAUCGCUUAACGGAUAAAAGGUACUCUGGGGAUAACAGGCUGAUCACGCCUGAGAGUUCACAUCGGCGGCGUGGUUUGGCACCUCGAUGUCGGCCCAUCGCAUCCUGGGGCUGGAGCAGGUCCCAAGGGUUCGGCUGUUCGCCGAUUAAAGCGGUACGCGAGCUGGGUUUAGAACGUCGUGAGACAGUUCGGUCCCUAUCUGCUGUGGGCGCAGGAUACUUGAGAGGACCUAUCCAUAGUACGAGAGGACCUGGAUGGACGCACCUCUGGUGAUCCGGUUGUUCCGCCAGGAGCAUCGCCGGGUAGCCAUGUGCGGAACGGAUAACCGCUGAAAGCAUCUAAGCGGGAAGCCGACCUCAAGAUUAGGUAUCCCUAUCAGGCACCAUGUAGACUACGUGGUUGAUAGGCCGGGUGUGGAAGUGCUGCGAGGCACGGAGCUAACCGGUACUAAUAAGCCGACUGGCUUGCCUUA